RNAcentral lists this ribosomal RNA (26 nucleotides) under Trichosporon asahii. RNAcentral's name for it is "partial 28S ribosomal RNA". Lineage: Eukaryota; Fungi; Basidiomycota; Tremellomycetes; Trichosporonales; Trichosporonaceae. The record is from RNAcentral.
UGGCCUGAAAUCAGGUAGGACUACCC